GACGAACGCUGGCGGCGUGCUUAACACAUGCAAGUCGAACGGAAAGGCCUCUUUCGGGGGGUACUCGAGUGGCGAACGGGUGAGUAACACGUGAGUAACCUGCCCUUGACUUUGGGAUAACUUCAGGAAACUGGGGCUAAUACCGGAUAGGAGCUCCUGCUGCAUGGUGGGGGUUGGAAAGUUUCGGCGGUUGGGGAUGGACUCGCGGCUUAUCAGCUUGUUGGUGGGGUAGUGGCUUACCAAGGCUUUGACGGGUAGCCGGCCUGAGAGGGUGACCGGCCACAUUGGGACUGAGAUACGGCCCAGACUCCUACGGGAGGCAGCAGUGGGGAAUAUUGCACAAUGGGUGGAAGCCUGAUGCAGCAACGCCGUGUGCGGGAUGACGGCCUUCGGGUUGUAAACCGCUUUCGCCUGUGACGAAGCGUGAGUGACGGUAAUGGGUAAAGAAGCACCGGCUAACUACGUG
This 466-nucleotide ribosomal RNA is filed under the name uncultured bacterium. RNAcentral describes it as "partial 16S ribosomal RNA". It matches the Rfam family "Bacterial small subunit ribosomal RNA", at positions 28 to 507 of the family's 1533-position model. The record is from RNAcentral.